GAUGAACGCUGGCGGCGUGCUUAACACAUGCAAGUCGAACGGGAAACCUCUUAUUGAAGCUUCGGCAGAUUUAGCUGGUUUCUAGUGGCGGACGGGGGAGUAACGCGUGGGUAACCUGCCUUAUACAGGGGGAUAACAACCAGAAAUGGUUGCUAAUACCGCAUAAGCGCACAGGACCGCAUGGUCCGGUGUGAAAAACUCCGGUGGUAUAAGAUGGACCCGCGUUGGAUUAGCUAGUUGGCAGGGUAACGGCCUACCAAGGCGACGAUCCAUAGCCGGCCUGAGAGGGUGACCGGCCACAUUGGGACUGAGACACGGCCCAGACUCCUACGGGAGGCAGCAGUGGGGAAUAUUGCACAAUGGGGGAAACCCUGAUGGAGCCACGCCGCGUGAAGGAAGAAGUAUCUCGGUAUGUAAACUUCUAUCAGCAGGGAAGAUAGUGACGGUACCUGACUAAGAAGCCCCGGCUAACUACGUG
RNAcentral lists this ribosomal RNA (478 nucleotides) under uncultured bacterium. Its description in RNAcentral is "partial 16S ribosomal RNA". It matches the Rfam family "Bacterial small subunit ribosomal RNA", at positions 28 to 507 of the family's 1533-position model. The record is from RNAcentral.